Doryrhamphus excisus (bluestripe pipefish) is the source of this 72-nucleotide non-coding RNA. The record is from the annotation of a RefSeq genome assembly. Lineage: Eukaryota; Metazoa; Chordata; Actinopteri; Syngnathiformes; Syngnathidae.
UCCCUGGUGGUCUAGUGGCUAGGAUUCGGCACGCUCACUGCCGUGGCCUGGGUUCGAUUCCCGGUCAGGGAG